ACAUGCAAGUCGAGCGAACGGACGAGAAGCUUGCUUCUCUGAUGUUAGCGGCGGACGGGUGAGUAACACGUGGAUAACCUACCUAUAAGACUGGGAUAACUUCGGGAAACCGGAGCUAAUACCGGAUAAUAUUUUGAACCGCAUGGUUCAAAAGUGAAAGACGGUCUUGCUGUCACUUAUAGAUGGAUCCGCGCUGCAUUAGCUAGUUGGUAAGGUAACGGCUUACCAAGGCAACGAUGCAUAGCCGACCUGAGAGGGUGAUCGGCCACACUGGAACUGAGACACGGUCCAGACUCCUACGGGAGGCAGCAGUAGGGAAUCUUCCGCAAUGGGCGAAAGCCUGGCGGAGCAACGCCGCGUGAGUGAUGAAGGUCUUCGGAUCGUAAAACUCUGUUAUUAGGGAAGAACAUAUGUGUAAGUAACUGUGCACAUCUUGACGGUACCUAAUCAGAAAGCCACGGCUAACUACGUGCCAGCAGCCGCGGUAAUACGUAGGUGGCAAGCGUUAUCCGGAAUUAUUGGGCGUAAAGCGCGCGUAGGCGGUUUUUUAAGUCUGAUGUGAAAGCCCACGGCUCAACCGUGGAGGGUCAUUGGAAACUGGAAAACUUGAGUGCAGAAGAGGAAAGUGGAAUUCCAUGUGUAGCGGUGAAAUGCGCAGAGAUAUGGAGGAACACCAGUGGCGAAGGCGACUUUCUGGUCUGUAACUGACGCUGAUGUGCGAAAGCGUGGGGAUCAAACAGGAUUAGAUACCCUGGUAGUCCACGCCGUAAACGAUGAGUGCUAAGUGUUAGGGGGUUUCCGCCCCUUAGUGCUGCAGCUAACGCAUUAAGCACUCCGCCUGGGGAGUACGACCGCAAGGUUGAAACUCAAAGGAAUUGACGGGGACCCGCACAAGCGGUGGAGCAUGUGGUUUAAUUCGAAGCAACGCGAAGAACCUUACCAAAUCUUGACAUCCUUUGACAACUCUAGAGAUAGAGCCUUCCCCUUCGGGGGACAAAGUGACAGGUGGUGCAUGGUUGUCGUCAGCUCGUGUCGUGAGAUGUUGGGUUAAGUCCCGCAACGAGCGCAACCCUUAAGCUUAGUUGCCAUCAUUAAGUUGGGCACUCUAAGUUGACUGCCGGUGACAAACCGGAGGAAGGUGGGGAUGACGUCAAAUCAUCAUGCCCCUUAUGAUUUGGGCUACACACGUGCUACAAUGGACAAUACAAAGGGCAGCGAAACCGCGAGGUCAAGCAAAUCCCAUAAAGUUGUUCUCAGUUCGGAUUGUAGUCUGCAACUCGACUACAUGAAGCUGGAAUCGCUAGUAAUCGUAGAUCAGCAUGCUACGGUGAAUACGUUCCCGGGUCU
RNAcentral lists this ribosomal RNA (1347 nucleotides) under uncultured bacterium. RNAcentral describes it as "bacterial SSU rRNA". It matches the Rfam family "Bacterial small subunit ribosomal RNA", at positions 53 to 1381 of the family's 1533-position model. The record is from RNAcentral.